UGGACUUUUUACUUAAUAUAUUUAGUACAUCCUCUGUAUUAAUGUGUAAAUAUGAACGAAUAUAUAAUAUAGCUAGUCCAUUCAAUUAGUUUUGUCUGAUUGUAUUCCGAAUAUAUUAUUUCAAAUAUUUCGAUGUUGAAAAUGAUUGUUCAAUAUUUUCUAUUUCGUUAUUAUAUUAUUUUGUUUAACGAUCGUAUAGAAAUAUUAUUCACCAUUACAUAGGCGAACACAAAAAGACAACAAUGGACAAUGUAGGAGAUCGUCGGAUAAUCAAAUCACAUCCAACAACUAUAAGCCAAACCAAAAUAAAAACCAAAACUAAAUCUGUUGGGCAUCGCUGUUCUGUUAGCAAAUUUUUAAACAUAGUGCCAAUAUCUGAAAAAUCCGUUGGAUUUGUUUGUGAAUUUGGAUAAUUAUUAAAAUAUAUUCUAAAGAAUAUAAUAUUUUCAGUUAUUAAUGAAAAUUAUUACAUAUAAUAUGUUUUUAAGGUGAUCCAAAGCCCUCUCCUGAAUGCGCCACUGAACCACCACCAACAUAUUUUUAGAAGUAUAUCCAGAAUGAGAUGUUUUUUGGGAAAGCAUCUGCUUUCUUCAUUGAGAAAGACAUUCAUGACAUAUCGUUUGAUGUGCACCUCAUUAAAAUACUCCACUAUGGUGAUUUAUUUCUUGAAAUUCAUUCAACAAACCUAAUUUUACUUAAAGGCAACUAUGGUUAUCGACAAACCGCUGUUUUUUCAUGCACUAAUUCUUUGAGGGGAAAAUUAAUAAAGCAGAUUUGAUGGAUAUAAUUCCAUUGCACGAGUAUACUGCUACUGCUAAAGAUCCAAGAGUUAUCAGUAAAUCAGAAUUUAAAGGUAGAAAUUGGAUAAAUUUCUUAUACAAAGAAAACUGUAGUAUCAGCAUGUAUGCCUUGAUUCACAAACGAUUAAUACAUUACUGUACGGCAUAUUUGGGAAAAGAUGAUAAUUUUGAUCAAAUACCGACGUUUAUGAAUGAUGAUAAUGUAUUUGAUCUUCCUACUGCUCAAGGCGAACCAAUAAUUAAUUAUGGAUACGAAUUUGAUAUAGCACCUUUUAAUGAAAAAUUUAGAAUGUCAAUAUCGGAAAAAAUACUGUGUAUACUGGUAUGCGUAAUUGUUCGUUUCAAAAAGUAGAGA
This 1155-nucleotide long non-coding RNA is filed under the name Androctonus crassicauda. Lineage: Eukaryota; Metazoa; Arthropoda; Arachnida; Scorpiones; Buthidae. The record is from RNAcentral.